RNAcentral lists this ribosomal RNA (488 nucleotides) under uncultured bacterium. RNAcentral describes it as "bacterial SSU rRNA". It matches the Rfam family "Bacterial small subunit ribosomal RNA", at positions 17 to 518 of the family's 1533-position model. The record is from RNAcentral.
UUAUGGCUCAGGAUGAACGCUGGCGGCGUGCUAACACAUGCAAGUAGAACGGACUUACAUGAAGCCUAGCGAUUGUAAAGUAGUGGCGGACGGGUGAGUAACGCGUGGGUAACCUGCCGUAUACCGGGGGAUAACACUUAGAAAUAGGUGCUAAUACCGCAUAAGCGCACGGGAUCGCAUGAUCCAGUGUGAAAAACUCCGGUGGUAUACGAUGGACCCGCGUCUGAUUAGAUAGUUGGUGAGGUAACGGCUCACCAAGUCGACGAUCAGUAGCCGGCCUGAGAGGGUGAACGGCCACAUUGGGACUGAGACACGGCCCAAACUCCUACGGGAGGCAGCAGUGGGGAAUAUUGGACAAUGGGGGAAACCCUGAUCCCAGCGACGCCGCGUGAGUGAAGAAGUAUUUCGGUAUGUAAAGCUCUAUCAGCAGGGAAGAAAAUGACGGUACCUGACUAAGAAGCCCCGGCUAACUACGUGCCAGCAGCCGC